AACACACAAGACCGGGACCUCUCCCCAAGUAAUCCCCAGCUUGCCCCAGUGAGACGAAGGGAACCAGAUCUGCUAACGACGCGGACGCUACCAGCGCCUAAUGCCGAGGAACAACGACCCGGACCCCAUGACUUCACAAGAAGGAGUUACAGGCAGCUCAUGAAGUGAACAGCGGGCGUCCCUAAUCCUAUCUGAAUGAGUGGUUGCAGGAAAAGGAGAUACUUUAGAGAUCUGCCGUCCGCUUAAGGCUUUUCUCUUCCUCUUUUACCAAGUUGUUCACUGCAGCUGCUAAAUUUGACAAAGCUUUGCCGGAUGUGGCCUUGGCAAACCAGCUCUGAGCCGGAUGCGCAGCUUGGAGCAGGAAUACAGGGCAACACCCAAAACAAACAAGGGUCAAAAAUUAGCCAAACCGCCACACUGAAGAUUGGUAAUUCAGACUGUAGAAAACAGUACUGUUAUUAAAAUGUGUCUGCUUUUUAAAAAAUAAAUUUCUGGAUUUGGC
Long non-coding RNA from Ailuropoda melanoleuca (giant panda), 502 nucleotides. RefSeq lists it as uncharacterized. The transcript has 2 exons. NCBI's taxonomy places the organism in Eukaryota, Metazoa, Chordata, Mammalia, Carnivora, Ursidae. The record is from RefSeq and is a predicted model, not a curated record.